GUGGGGAAUAUUGGACAAUGGGCGAAAGCCUGAUCCAGCCAUGCCGCGUGUGUGAAGAAGGUCUUCGGAUUGUAAAGCACUUUAAGUUGGGAGGAAGGGCAGUAAGUUAAUACCUUGCUGUUUUGACGUUACCGACAGAAUAAGCACCGGCUAACUUCGUGCCAGCAGCCGCGGUAAUACGAAGGGUGCAAGCGUUAAUCGGAAUUACUGGGCGUAAAGCGCGCGUAGGUGGUUUUGUAAGUUGGAGGUGAAAUCCCCGGGCUCAACCUGGGAACUGCCUCCAAAACUGCAUGACUAGAGUACGGUAGAGGGUAGUGGAAUUUCCUGUGUAGCGGUGAAAUGCGUAGAUAUAGGAAGGAACACCAGUGGCGAAGGCGACUACCUGGACUGAUACUGACACUGAGGUGCGAAAGCGUGGGGAUCAAACAGGAUUAGAUACCCGUGUAGUCC
RNAcentral lists this ribosomal RNA (450 nucleotides) under uncultured bacterium. RNAcentral's name for it is "partial 16S ribosomal RNA". It matches the Rfam family "Bacterial small subunit ribosomal RNA", at positions 354 to 796 of the family's 1533-position model. The record is from RNAcentral.